This is a non-coding RNA of Phascolarctos cinereus (koala), 238 nucleotides long. The record is from RefSeq and is a predicted model, not a curated record. Lineage: Eukaryota; Metazoa; Chordata; Mammalia; Diprotodontia; Phascolarctidae.
UGCCCCUUGCCAGCAGGAAGUAGUUUCAGAAGCUUCCUGUUUCUAUGGCAAUGAAUGGGAUGUUUUGCACUAAGAAAUACUUUAAAUGCCACUGGGAGAAGGCCUGUGCAUGAGACGGUGUUGUGGAAUGGAGAAGAAAGCUCUGAGUCAGAAGAUUUGGGCUCAAAUUCCAGAUGCUGUACUCACAUCUAUGUGGCUUUGAGCAUCACUUAACCUUGUUUCUCUAUAAAAUUGAGGA